This 483-nucleotide ribosomal RNA is filed under the name Psychrobacter sp. 'ARUP UnID 561'. RNAcentral describes it as "bacterial SSU rRNA". It matches the Rfam family "Bacterial small subunit ribosomal RNA", at positions 26 to 504 of the family's 1533-position model. Lineage: Bacteria; Pseudomonadati; Pseudomonadota; Gammaproteobacteria; Moraxellales; Moraxellaceae. The record is from RNAcentral.
AGAUUGAACGCUGGCGGCAGGCUUAACACAUGCAAGUCGAGCGGUAACAGGAGAAGCUUGCUUCUCGCUGACGAGCGGCGGACGGGUGAGUAAUACUUAGGAAUCUGCCCAGUAGUGGGGGAUAGCACGGGGAAACUCGUAUUAAUACCGCAUACACCCUACGGGGAAAAGGGGGCGCUUGCGCUCUCGCUAUUGGAUGAGCCUAAGUCGGAUUAGCUAGUUGGUGGGGUAAAGGCCUACCAAGGCGACGAUCUGUAGCUGGUCUGAGAGGAUGAUCAGCCACACCGGGACUGAGACACGGCCCGGACUCCUACGGGAGGCAGCAGUGGGGAAUAUUGGACAAUGGGGGCAACCCUGAUCCAGCCAUGCCGCGUGUGUGAAGAAGGCCUUUUGGUUGUAAAGCACUUUAAGCAGUGAAGAAGACUCUAUGGUUAAUACCCAUAGACGAUGACAUUAGCUGCAGAAUAAGCACCGGCUAACUCU